CCCUGCUUUGUUCUUGUUUACGGUUAUUGUUAUUUUUAAACGUUUUUUGUUCAACCGAUCUACCCGAAUGGGUUUAGUUUAAAGUAAGUAUUUUACUUUGUUAGUAUUAUAGAGCUGGUGGUGUAUGGUGGUGGGUUUUGGCACGCUCUAAGUUUAGAUUCAGUUAAGUAGGAAGUAGGUAGUGGGAAGAUUCCCCGGAAGACUCACCACAUUCCGAUGACCUUUGUUUUCCAACGGGAGCAGCUUAGAUCCUUUUGUUUUCUAUGCAGACCGUGUGAGGGUUUGUUUUUUCUUUUGUUAUUAUUUACCCUCUCUUGGCCUGUACCUUACCGUGGUGAGAGGGCUUUUAACUAAAGCAGGCCUAUGUUUUGCUUACUGACAGUUUUCUUACAGUCUCUCUCCCCACAAUCUCCCUGUCUCUCCCAUUCUACCAUUUUUUUAAGGUGUAGCAGACAGUUGGUGUGUCCAGAUGCAGCAUGGAUAUCAUCAGAUGUAGUCCCAUAGACCAACUCCCAUUCAUUACCAAUAAACUUUACCAUAGAUAACAGAUACAUGUUUUCCUUGUAUUAUUGCUAUGUGUGUACACUUUUAUGAGCUGGUGAACGAAUAGUUGAAUAGUUAGGAAAGUCCUUAUUGUGUUGUGAUUAUUAGACAUAUCUGACAGCACCCACAAUUACAUUUUCACAAAACAGAAUUGUUUGCACCACCUUUAAAUAUAGAGCACAACUGGUAGGACACCAGAACAAAUUAAAAGACAUUCAGGGUGGAUCUGACAAAAAAGGGUAGGAUGUAGCUAAGUCACAAGGGCACAUUACAAGACAAGGAGAUAUUUAUUUUGCUUAGUGCAUAGCUAGCUAGCUAGUAUGAACUCUCCCAAGUCUUUCUAAAUAGGCCUAUAUCAAAAAAUAAUGGUAGAUCUUAAAUUAUUUAAGAUGUUAGCAAAUUAACUGGCUGGCUUGCUAAAAAGGUAGAUGAACAAGCACCGUAUAUCACUUUUCUCCUUCUCCAUUUUCUCCUUUUUAUAAAAACGAAUUUCUACUCUAAACAAUUUCAAUUGAAAUGCAAAUGAUGAUGUAAACGGCUAAAAUGGAACACUUUAUUUACCGGGG
Clupea harengus (Atlantic herring) is the source of this 1109-nucleotide long non-coding RNA. The record is from Ensembl. Lineage: Eukaryota; Metazoa; Chordata; Actinopteri; Clupeiformes; Clupeidae.